RNAcentral lists this long non-coding RNA (372 nucleotides) under Homo sapiens (human). Its description in RNAcentral is "non-protein coding lnc-MTFR1-4:1". Lineage: Eukaryota; Metazoa; Chordata; Mammalia; Primates; Hominidae. The record is from RNAcentral.
AUGGCUCCCACAAAGAAACGUGGUGAGAAGGGCCGUUCCGCCAUCAAAGAGGUGGUGAUCCAAUAAUACACCACCAACAUUCACAAGUACAUACAGGAAGUGGACUUCAAGAAGUAUGCCCCUUAGGCACUCAAAGAGAUCUGGAAAUUUUCCAUGAAAGAGACGGGGAACUCCAGAUGUGUGCAUUGAUACCAGGCUCAACAAAGCUGCCUGGGCCAAAGGAAUAAGGAAUGUCCCAUACCAUAUCCACGUUGGGUUGUCCAGAAAACUUAAUGAGGAUGAAGAUUCACUAAAUAAGCUCUGCACUUUGGUUACCUACAUAACUGUUACCACUUUCAAAAUGUACAGAAAGUCAAUGUGAAUGAGAACUAG